CCUACGGGUGGCAGCAGUGGGGGAUAUUGCACAAUGGGGGGAACCCUGAUGCAGCGACGCCGCGUGGGUGAUGGAGCGUUUCGGCGCGUAAAGCCCUAUCGGCAGGGAAGAAGAUGACGGUAUCUGACCAAGAAGCCCCGGCUAACUCCGUGCCAGCAGCCGCGGUCAUACGUGGGGGGCAAGCGUUAUCCGGAUUUACUGGGGGUAACGGCGGCGCAGACGGCAAUGCAAGCCAGGAGUGAAAGCCCGGGGCCCAACCCCGGGACUGCUCUGGGAACUGCAUGGCUGGAGUACAGGAGGGGCAGGCGGAAUACCGGGUGUAGCGGUGAAAUGGGUAGAUAUUAGGGGGAACACCGGUGGCGAAGGCAGCCUGCUGGAC
RNAcentral lists this ribosomal RNA (379 nucleotides) under uncultured bacterium. RNAcentral describes it as "partial 16S ribosomal RNA". It matches the Rfam family "Bacterial small subunit ribosomal RNA", at positions 338 to 734 of the family's 1533-position model. The record is from RNAcentral.